This 75-nucleotide transfer RNA is filed under the name candidate division WWE3 bacterium CG_4_9_14_0_2_um_filter_35_11. RNAcentral describes it as "tRNA-Trp". It matches the Rfam family "tRNA". From Rfam's summary of the family: Transfer RNA (tRNA) molecules are approximately 80 nucleotides in length. Their secondary structure includes four short double-helical elements and three loops (D, anti-codon, and T loops). Further hydrogen bonds mediate the characteristic L-shaped molecular structure. tRNAs have two regions of fundamental functional importance: the anti-codon, which is responsible for specific mRNA codon recognition, and the 3' end, to which the tRNAs corresponding amino acid is attached (by aminoacyl-tRNA synthetases). tRNAs cope with the degeneracy of the genetic code in two manners: having more than one tRNA (with a specific anti-codon) for a particular amino acid; and 'wobble' base-pairing, i.e. permitting non-standard base-pairing at the 3rd anti-codon position. Lineage: Bacteria; candidate division WWE3. The record is from RNAcentral. RNAcentral also lists the same sequence under 1 other name.
AGGCGGGUCGGUUAACUGGCAAACCACGGGUCUCCAAAACCCGGACUGUGGGUUCGAUCCCCAUCCCGCCUGCCA